GGGAGACGGGCAGGCCAACCGGCCAAUCCAGGCCAUUCUUGCUACCAGGGCACCAGACCCCCUGCAUCUCCUUAUAAGGAGGCUCUGAGGAGAGCCAGGGUGGCCUAGUGGUUAGAGCGUCGGCCCAGGACCUGGAGAGACGCAGGUUCAAAUCCACAUUUGACCACGAAGCUGGGUGAUGCUUGCCACUGCUCAGUCUCGCCUACUUUACAGGGUUGUUGUGGUGUCGAAUUGGGGAGGGGGUGAAGAACUAUGUAUGCCCCCUUGAAAUCUUUGGAGGAAAAGGUAUAAACCUCAUACAUAUCUCAAUGUUUGCUGCUUCCCGAAAUGGCAGUUUGGGAGGGGGGCGAGCCUCCAUCUUGGAGCCCGAAGGCACCGAUUGGGAGUGGGGGAGAAUAUAAUAAUAUAAUAAUUUGUUAUUUAUACCCUGCCCAUCUGGCUGGGCUUCCCCAGCCAUUCUGGGCGGCUUCCAACAAAAUAUUAAAAUACCGUAAUACAUCAGACAUUAAAAGCUUCCCCAAACAGGGCUGCCUUCAGAUGUCUUCUAAAAGUUUGGUAGAAUAAUAAUAUGAGGGGUCCACUUGCAAAUUGGGGAGCAAGUGAGGUUGAGCGAGAGAAAACGCAGGCCAUGUUAGCUUGCCUACUGUCAGCAUGAACUAUCCAACGCCACUGUGACUUCCUUCCAACUAUAUCUUAUGCCAGCCUUUGCCAAAUGGGCUGCUUCGAACUACAACUCCCAUGAUGCUCUGCUCACCUGCUUGGCAAUUUCCGUGAGGAUUCCAUCAGGGCAAACCCAAACACAGCCUGUUGUCAAAUUUCUCAAACGGCAGGCAAAUAACAAAGGGAAUCUGCCCUGCUGACUUCUUCCACUUAUCCAUCAGGCUAACUAUCUGCAUCCCAGCUAGUUGUUACAAAAACUGGUUGCCUGAGUUAGCUUUUUUUUAUUCCUCCUCCCUCCUCCUCCUCCAACUCUUUUUCCUUUUGUGCUGUGUCUGUCAGACUAUAAUCUUGCAGGCAGGACUGGGCUUUUUUAAAUCUCCCUGUAAACAUCGUCCUCUCCCUAGGGAACGGCAGCUCUGUGAUGGCCAGCAGGGAAUUUCCAGCAGCUUCAAAAAACUAAGUUUUCCAGGAGUCGUUUGGGGAAGAAGCAACCGCUAAACGGGUUCGAAACUGGUGUGGCCUUGUAUGCAGACCCAGGGAAUCCACACUUCCACACGGAAAGAGCAGAAAAUGUCCAAGCUAAAGUCAGAGGCAGAUAUAGGUCAGAGCAACUGGUUUCACAGCACAGCAAGUAUGACAUAGUGAACUGAGCAAAAGGGAAGGUGAGAGGCUUGGAUGGGUACCAAUUUUUGGCCUUGCACAGAGCAUCGCUAAAAUUUGAAAGACCGAAGUCGUCCCCCCGCAACCCAACAAAGGCACAUUGACCCUCAGCACAUUGCAAAGGAUCUUUGGGUGCCUUUACGGGGUCUCACACUGCUUCUCUGGCGUCCCCAAUAAUACUGCAGCCUGCAAGCGAUCGCUUUGGUCAUCUGUGUGGUCAUCCCAGCUGUGACAACACAUCCUAAGGUAAAGGUAAAGGGACCCCUGACCAUUAGGUCCAGUCGUGGCCAACUCUGGGGUUGCGGCGCUCAUCUCGCUUUAUUGGCCGAGGAAGCCGGUGUACAGCUUCCGGGUCAUGUGGCCAGCAUGACUAAGUCGCUUCUGGCGAACCAGAGCAGCACACGGAAACGCCCUUUACCUUCCCGCCGGAGCGGUACCUAUUUAUCUACUUGCACUGGUGUGCUUUUGAACUGCUAGGUUGGCAAGAGCAGGGACCGAGCAACGGGAGUUCACCCCAUCGCGGGGAUUCGAACCGCCGACCUUCUGGUCGGAAAGUCCUAGGCUCUGUGGUUUAACCCACAGCGCCAUCCGUGUCCCAUACAACACAUCCUAGAAGGCUUUAAAAGAGGGCUGGACCAAAUCACAGGAAGAGGAGAGGGCUAUCGAUGGCUACUAGACUCAGCCCCCAGAGGCAGCAAUGAUUCUGAAUACCAGGUGCUAGGAACCGCAGGAAGGGAGAUCGCUCCUGUGUUCGAAUCCUGCUCCCAGGCUUCUCACAGGCAUCUGGGAGAACAGGAUGCUGGACUAAAUACGCCAUUGGUCUGAUCCAGCAAGCUCUCCUUAUGUACUCACCCUACUUUGCAAAUAAUUCUGCCCUUCAUUAAGGGUCCCCCGCAUAAACUGCCAGCACAAGGGACUCCACCGGGACCCCCCUGUGAGGGUUAGGGGACCGUGACCUUUGCUGUGGUCGCAAUCCAGAUUCAGGGCCUGGAGUUUGUAGUUUACAGGGCAAAGGAGGGGUCCCAUGGAAACAUGAGAGACCUCCUUUUUUUGCAAUGCAAGGUGCCAUCACAGGGGGGUCAGUUCUGGAUCUGCAGUGGGUCCUGUUCCCCUUGUGUCGGAGACCCUGAUCCUGAUCAGACCCUAUUGGCUGUCUUCGGGGGGGGGGAAGACAGUGACCCUGAACUUAAGAAGCAGAUUGAUGGAGAUCAGGUGACGUUCAGUGUGGCCCUUACUCAGAAUUCAUUGCGUGGCCCCUCAAUUUCCCCACCUCUUUCCUCCCUCUGCUCCCCACCGCAGAACUAAACUCCAAAGAGUAGCCAAAGCCCGAGGGUCAGGCCUGCGUCUUCCACUCCUGCCUUGAAGGAACCCUUUCCCCAUCCUUUUGUGCAAGCAACACACCCGAUUCGACUCCAGGAGGGCAAGAGGCGGCCAUUCUAGUGAGGACGGGAGAAUUCUAGCAGCGGUUGCAAACGGACGUGGUGCUGAGGGCAGUGCUGAGAGCUGAGCAAGGGCAGCAGGACCCCCAGAGCCAAAAAAUGGGGUCUGGAAAUGCAGGGGAAGGAGCUAGCCUCCUUAAAAAAAUAAAAAUAAACGAAGUACAAAUGGUGGUACCUCCACACUUAAUUAGUGCCCAAAGCGAACGGGCAGAUCUGCAGAUUUGCUUCUCCCUGUGUGUUCGCCUCUUAGACCUAACCCAAUUUUCAAAAAUUAUUUUCCUGCUCCCCAGAUCUUUCCGCUCACCCCCCACCACCCAAAGCUUUUUGGGAAGUUCC
RNAcentral lists this long non-coding RNA (3095 nucleotides) under Podarcis lilfordi (Lilford's wall lizard). The record is from RNAcentral. Lineage: Eukaryota; Metazoa; Chordata; Lepidosauria; Squamata; Lacertidae.